AUGGCUGUAGUUUAGUGAUAAGAAUUCCACGUUGUGACCGUGGACACCUGGGCUUGAAUCCGAGCAGCCAUA
This 72-nucleotide transfer RNA is filed under the name Solanum tuberosum (potato). It matches the Rfam family "tRNA". Rfam says of the family: Transfer RNA (tRNA) molecules are approximately 80 nucleotides in length. The record is from Rfam by way of RNAcentral. Lineage: Eukaryota; Viridiplantae; Streptophyta; Magnoliopsida; Solanales; Solanaceae.